Long non-coding RNA from Haliotis rufescens (red abalone), 351 nucleotides. RefSeq lists it as uncharacterized. Lineage: Eukaryota; Metazoa; Mollusca; Gastropoda; Lepetellida; Haliotidae. The transcript has 3 exons. The record is from RefSeq and is a predicted model, not a curated record.
UCAUGGAAGUGUGUAGCAUCUUCACUGUGCUCCAGGUGGUCUUACAGACUGCCAAGUAUUCCAAAUACAUGAUCAAGGAGAAAAAAAGGUACAUGAAUCUGUCCUCCCUCUAUCCCAAACCCUGGACAAUGGCUGCAUGCUAUGUAAGCUGCUCACCCAGUAACGCUGUCCGGGCAUGACUCUACAACGGAGCCAUCACGGACGAUCAUUGACUGAUGUCGCUUAGAAGAUAAGGUAUUGCAAAACAUCUUCCUCCGAUGAUGAGAAAGGAAAAGGGAGACUUAUUUCAGUUCAGGGAAAUGAGGACAGAAGAACAGGAACCCUCCCAUUAUGUUGCUUCUCUGUGUUGUG